CAAAUGAAUAGACGGGGGCCCGCACAAGCAGUGGAGUAUGUGGUUUAAUUCGAAGCAACGCGAAGAACCUUACCAGGGCUUGACAUACAGACGGAUGGUGUGGAAACACAUCAGACCUUCGGGACGUCUGUACAGGUGGUGCAUGGUUGUCGUCAGCUCGUGUCGUGAGAUGUUGGGUUAAGUCCCGCAACGAGCGCAACCCCUGUUGUUAGUUGCCAUCAUUAAGUUGGGCACUCUAACGAGACUGCCGGUGACAAAUCGGAGGAAGGUGGGGACGACGUCAAAUCAUCAU
This 292-nucleotide ribosomal RNA is filed under the name uncultured eukaryote. RNAcentral describes it as "partial 18S ribosomal RNA". It matches the Rfam family "Bacterial small subunit ribosomal RNA", at positions 902 to 1196 of the family's 1533-position model. The record is from RNAcentral.